Molecule: ribosomal RNA, 353 nt
Filed under: Notaticus fasciatus
Lineage: Eukaryota; Metazoa; Arthropoda; Insecta; Coleoptera; Dytiscidae
Description: partial 12S ribosomal RNA
Source: RNAcentral
UUUAAAUUUAAAUUUUUAUACUAAAGUAUUAUUAGUUAAGUUCUUGAAAUUUAAAGAUUUUGGCGGUAUUUUAGUCUAUUCAGAGGAACCUGUUCUGUGAUUGAUAGUCCACGAUAAAAUUAACUUUAUUUAUAAAUUUGUAUAUCGUUGUUUAUAAUAAUUUUAUAAGAAAAAAAAUUUUUUUAAUUUUUAAUUAAAAAAUAUUUCAGAUCAAGGUGCAGUUAAUAUUAAAGUAGAUAUGGGUUACAAUAAAUCUAUUUAUUAUGGAUUAAUGAAUUUAAAUUUGUUAAGAAGGAGGAUUUGAUAGUAAUAAAAUUUUAAUUAAAUUUUAUGAUUUUAGCUCUAAAAUAUGU